UACGGGGGGGGUAAGCGUUGUUCGGAAUUACUGGGCGUAAAGGGCUCGUAGGUGGCCAAUUAAGUCAGACGUGAAAUCCCCAGGCUCAACCUGGGAACUGCGUCUGAUACUGGUUGGCUUGAAUUCGGGAGAGGGAUGCAGAAUUCCAGGUGUAGCGGUGAAAUGCGUAGAUAUCUGGAGGAAUACCGGUGGCGAAGGCGGCAUCCUGGACCGAGAUUGACACUGAGGAGCGAAAGCCGGGGGAGCAAACGGG
Molecule: ribosomal RNA, 253 nt
Filed under: uncultured bacterium
Lineage: Bacteria
Description: partial 16S ribosomal RNA
Rfam family: Bacterial small subunit ribosomal RNA
Source: RNAcentral